CUAACACAUGCAAGUCGAGGGGCAGCAUGGAGCUUGCUUGCAAGCUCUGAUGGCGACCGGCGAAUGGGUGAGUCACGCGUGUCCAACCUGCCCCGCGCCCGGGGAUAGCCCUUGGAAAUGAGGAUUAAGACCCGAUACGUGCGUUGUCCGCAUGGACGCCGCAUGAAACCAGGCACGGGAUGGGGACGCGUCGGAUUAGCUUGACGGCGGGGCAACGGCCCACCGUGGCGACGAUCCGCAGGGGUUCUGAGAGGAAGGUCCCCCACACUGGCACUGAGACACGGGCCAGACUCCUACGGGAGGCAGCAGUGAGGAAUAUUGGUCAAUGGCCGAGAGGCUGAACCAGCCAAGUAGCGUGCAGGAUGACGGCCCUACGGGUUGUAAACUGCUUUUGCGGGAGGAUAAAGUGCGCCACGCGCUGGCGCUUUGCAGGUAUCCCGUGAAUAAGGACCGGCUAAUUCCGUGCCAGCAGCCGCGGUAAUACGGAAGGUCCAGGCGUUAUCCGGAUUUAUUGGGUUUAAAGGGAGCGCAGGCGGGCUGUCAAGCGUGCCGUGAAAUCGCGGGGCUCAACCCCGUUGAGCGGUACGAACUGGCGGUCUUGGUUGCGGGAAGGGGAGGCGGAACUCGUGGUGUAGCGGUGAAAUGCAUAGAUAUCACGAAGAACUCCGAUCGCGAAGGCAGCCUCCCGGCCCGUGAACGACGCUCAUGCUCGAAGGCGCGGGUAUCAAACAGGAUUAGAUACCCUGGUAGUCCGCGCAGUAAACGAUGGACACUCGCGGUUUGGCCCUUGUGGCUGAGCCGCCCAGCGAAAGCGUUUAAGUGUCCCACCCUGGGGAGUACGCCGGCAACGGUGAAACUCAAAGGGAUUGACGGGGGCCCCGCACAAGCGGAGGAACAUGUGGUUUAAUUUCGAUGUAUACCGAGGAACCUUACCC
Molecule: ribosomal RNA, 935 nt
Filed under: uncultured rumen bacterium
Lineage: Bacteria
Description: bacterial SSU rRNA
Rfam family: Bacterial small subunit ribosomal RNA
Source: RNAcentral